This 65-nucleotide transfer RNA is filed under the name Elliptorhina chopardi. Its description in RNAcentral is "tRNA-Tyr". It matches the Rfam family "tRNA". Rfam says of the family: Transfer RNA (tRNA) molecules are approximately 80 nucleotides in length. Lineage: Eukaryota; Metazoa; Arthropoda; Insecta; Blattodea; Blaberidae. The record is from RNAcentral.
AGUAGAAUGGCUGAGGCUUAAGGUGAAAGAUUGUAAAUCUUUUUAGGAGUAAUACUCUUCUACUA